Molecule: ribosomal RNA, 487 nt
Filed under: uncultured bacterium
Lineage: Bacteria
Description: partial 16S ribosomal RNA
Rfam family: Bacterial small subunit ribosomal RNA
Source: RNAcentral
GAUGAACGCUAGCGAUAGGCUUAACACAUGCAAGUCGAGGGGCAGCACAAGGUAGCUUGCUAUCUGGGUGGCGACCGGCGCACGGGUGCGUAACGCGUAUGCAACUUGCCCUAUACAGGAGGAUAACCCGUCGAAAGACGGACUAAUACUGCGUAUGCUCACAACUUGGCAUCAAGUGGUGAGGAAAGAAAUUCGGUAUAGGAUAGGCAUGCGUCCCAUUAGCUUGUUGGUGAGGUGACGGCUCACCAAGGCAACGAUGGGUAGGGGAACUGAGAGGUUUAUCCCCCACACUGGUACUGAGACACGGACCAGACUCCUACGGGAGGCAGCAGUGAGGAAUAUUGGUCAAUGGGCGCGAGCCUGAACCAGCCAAGUCGCGUGAAGGAUGACUGUCUUAUGGAUUGUAAACUUCUUUUAUACGGGAAUAACAAGAGUCACGUGUGACUCCCUGCAUGUACCGUAUGAAUAAGCAUCGGCUAACUCCGUG